Molecule: long non-coding RNA, 13583 nt
Organism: Columba livia (rock pigeon)
Lineage: Eukaryota; Metazoa; Chordata; Aves; Columbiformes; Columbidae
Exons: 3
Source: RefSeq, a predicted model, not a curated record
GCUUUAAAGUGAGCAUCGCCACUCUAAGAAUAUUUAUCUCUGACUUCAUGCGACUGCUGAAUUUGAUUGGGAGGGCACCUGUGGAAGUGGCUGAGAGAAGUAUUGCCAUGAAGAAAGACCUUUCCUCCUGGCAACAUCUGGCAGGUUCCUGAUCUUAAUGAAGCAUCAGCUGAAACUACAAACUGCCUCUGACCUAGUCAGCUAAAAGACGGCAUCAAUCUCACCUGUUUGCUAUUUAAAAGGCAGCAGUUUUGCCUGGGCUAGAUAGUCAGGCUGUUUCUAGAGAUGGUGAGGAGUGUGAUGUGAUUGUUUCAACUCUGUAUUUUUUAGCAGGAUGAAUUUCCUUUUGGAAGUGUCCCUGUUGAUGUAGACAGCCCGUUUUGCUGAGACAGGCCAGAUGUACUCCUGUUAAACAGCUAAACUUAGACAAGAACGCCAAAGUUAGCGUUUAGCACUCCAUUUACUGUCUCCUUUUCAGUCAUUUACGGAAUGACAUCAAUGAUUAUAAAGGGAACAUCUGCUGAUGGCUUUAGGAGGUAUUAAGUUCAGAAUGAGCAAUUUAGUCAUAUAAUUAACAGAAAUAUGGUUUGUUUGGCAGAAUAGAAAAAACGCACUAUAGAGAUACUGAUGAUAAUUGUGAAGGCCAGUAAGAGAAAUCAAAUUGUAUCACUUCAGUACAUUAAAUGUCUGAUUUUGUCAUUCCAAAGUAAGUGCCUCUUAAAACCAGAUGCUCCCUCUGCAAUAUUUGAUGUGUGUCUAUAAUGGAUGGACAAAGGAAAUAUUGCAUCUUUUGUUAUCCCUCAGCACCAAGGUCAAAUUUGUCUCAUAGAACUCCCACUUUUGGCGGAUUCCUGACUGUCUGGUACAGUUCCACUCAUCCCAGGAGGAAUGGUUUCUUGAGCAGAGCAAAGGUAUAGAAUACAGGGAUUGUGCAUUGGAAAGAAGAAUGAAUCCAGGCAAAUGUUUGAGUUUCACUUUAAAAUCUGUUUUUGUAAUAGUUCCUUUGAAGAUCUUUCUGUACUAUAGCUAAGCUAAAAAGAAAACCAAACCAGCCGAAGCUAAAAUAAUUCUAUUAUUUUCUUAGCUAUCUGAGCUACUUCCCACAGUGAAUUAAGCGAUAUGAUUAAAGUGAUUAAUUUUCUUUCAUAAUCUCCUUUAUACAGCAAUCUGUGAUCUGAGAUGUAGGAAUCUUUAAUCUAGUGGUUGAAGGCAUAACAGCGUAUUACUAUGGCUGAAAUCAGAAGUCAGAAGCAUUUAAGCCGUCAAUUAAAUGCAAUUUUUAAAACUAGGAUGAAUCUGACCUCAUUUUUGAACAUCUCGCUACACUGAGGGCAAUUGAUGAUUGACAUUUCUUCUCAUGAAAAGUGACAAAUUCAUCGUCAUUUGGAAUCUUGCAAUCAAAAUUAGUUGUCUUUGAAAAAAAUGUUCUGUAGCUUAGUAAAAAAUUAAGACUGCUAAUGUUAAUUUAUGGUAAAAAGGAGAAAAAAAUAAUUUCCUAAUAUAAAAUAACAGUGAAUUCUUUGGGCCUUAUUAUUUAGAGGUUGGAUAAUGUGAUUUUACUGGAUUCUUCUGGUCUUAACAGUUUGUGGAUCCACAAAAUGCCGUUCAAAUGAUACAUGAGAUGAGUAGAAGCAGGAGACAGAACAUUUUGAAAUGGAUGACAUUAGGGAGGCAGUCUGGUUUAGCAAUUAGUGCGUGGAUUCACAAGUCAGAAAUUCUACAUUCUAUUCCCAUAUCUGACAUUGAUUAGCAAGUCACAUUAGGACUUAUUAUCAAAAGUCAGAUAUGCAGCUGAUCAUCUAAUUAGGAUCAUCAUGCUAUUAGCAUAACUGCAUUUGCAAAUCAUGCAUGCAGAGCUUUAGCCUUUGUUUAACCUUGAUCUGAGAUAUGAAAGCAAUCUAUGUUAUGGAUUGAUUCAACCCUCUUAUUUCGUGAUUUGAGCAGCUCACAAUUUUUGAUCUAUUUAUCCUCAUCAGAUUCUGUCAAACUGGAUAUUAUUACUUAUCCUCAUUUUAAGAUAUUGGAACUGCAGCACAGAAAUAUAAGGUUCUGAUUUCCAAAGACACUUAGGCAUUUAAAGAUGCAGAUAAGCAAUUAAAGACAUUUUCUUAAGUCCCAAAGAAGAUCACAUCCUUAAAUCCUAUAUGCAUUUUAAUUACAUUUUAGGUGACUAAAUCACUUUAGAAUUUGGUUCUGCAUCUUGUGAGGGUCUGUUAAGUCAAAGACCAGUUAGAAACUGUGUCUACCUUAGCGAGUAGCACAGACCAAUAUAAGCAGAUUGAUAAAAUGAAAGAGUCUGUACUAAGAACCUGGCAUUUGCACAUUUCAGGAGGUUUUAAUGUUGGGCUGGCUCUAGUUAUGCUGUGGGCUGAAUUCUUGCCAGAGCUCACCUUCUACUCACUUUCAUUCCAAAAUCCAGUUUGUGUGUGGUCCAAGUCCAUAAUAUGAACCAAAGCAUUAUUGAAGGAGAAUGAACAGGAAAUUUGCUUCCAAAGAUGACACCUGAGCUAAAAUGUUGACGUCUUGAUUCUUAGAAUCAAAACAAGCUAGCAAGUGGAUAAGUAAUUGGAUUUAUCUCUGCACAGGUGGAGAAUAGUGAUGCUCUUGCUUGAAAAGUUAGUAAUAGUAAGCAGAUUGGGUCAUCUGAAAAGUAUGGUAGGACUUCUUGAAGUAGCUCACUGAAAAGCUGGGUAGAAACAGUUAAAACUAGCUUGAAAAAGGAUGUACUUGAUUCCUGGAAGGUUAGCCAACUUAACAAAACAAAAUACUUAGCACCUGUCCAACUUCGAAAAGAUUACUGCAUUCUGGGAUUAUUUUUGUAAAUAUUCUGAACCUCUCUUGGCCAGGUUUAUAAGACAAAGCAACAAUUUUCCAUGCACUGCAUUGCUCUCACAUUUUUAUGAAUUUUCCAUAUGAUGAGAAAAUGAAAAGAUAAAAUGUCUCAUUUCAGUCUUACUAAGUGUGUGAGUAAAAUGAAAAGCUUUUGUGAAAUUGAAUACACUUCCGCGCAAUAAGGUGAAAGAGAGAUUAAAAUUUUAAAGAACAAAUAUGAUUGAGGGGUUCAGCCAGGUUUCAAAGAUCUCCUGGAAUUACUGAAUCCACUACCUUCUGUUUCAUUCUUUUGAGUGAAUUGAUUUUGUCACUCUUAUAUUUUCCAGAGAAAUAUCAUGGGCAUAUGAGAAGUGCUCUGUGAACUGAUAUUCUAACCUAAAUAUUUACUUUUCCAAAAUAUGAAAUGAACUGCUUUUGUUGCUAUAUCUAUGGAAAAAAAAACAAUCAAAAUCCCAAAACACUCCAUGUGACAACUGUGGACGUCCAAGAUUUUUGAAGCUAUCUAGAUAUCCUCCCUAUUUUUUUUCUGCAUUGGUAAUGCUGACAUACUUAAGUAAUAAAUACACAGGAGCAUUAAUCAAGAGAGGUCAGCAAAAGAAUGCUGGAAAAAAAAGAAGGCUCAUUGUUUCUCCAAUAGCCUUUUAAUGUCCUGAAAUAUUACAUCAGAGUUAAAAAUACAGGAUAUAAACAACAGAUACUGAAAACACCCAAAUGCAUUGGAUGGGGUCAGAGGUUAGUAAUGCAACAGGAAAAAUGUAUAUGGAUUUUAGACCAAAAAAUUGUCUUGUUGUAUCUGGAUUUUAUGUGUUCAUUUAUUGGUUUAUUUAUUUUCUAGGACCUCAGAGCUGAGAUAGCUGUAGUAAGUUUCUACUAUUUUUUUGUCAUGUUCCUGGGAGUAAAAAUGCUCAGUCCACAUCCUUUCCCUAUCUUUUUCUCUGACUGAAAACUUAGAGCUUUGUAUCAAAUGCUGGGGAUGAUUCAAUAGAGUCUUCUUUUACUCUAGAAAGUUAAGAUACCACUUAAUUUUCCAGAUGUUACUACCAAAAGGAUUUGUGGUAUCAUAAUACAACCCUUCGGAGUCUGCUAGUCUGAUGGGUAAAUCAAAGGAGGAAGGUUUAUAAAAGUGUACAAUACUUGUGUUCUUCUACCAGAGGUUUCUGUUCUAGUUGCUCUAGAGAAAUACUGUUUCAGGUGGGGAUAAAAGGUGGGAUGUUUUCUGUGUUCUCUGGUCUGAGAUCUGAAACCUCUCUCUUGGAUUUCCCUUGAGAAAGGGUGGGAAGAGAAAAUAAGAUAUCUACAGAUCUUACAAACAUCUACGUAUGGGAAUUUUAAAAACUUUUUAAUAAAUAAUCUUUAUCUUUUCAGAAGUGUAUGGAGCUAAUGAAUGGCUGUUAUUAUGUGAAAGUAGGAGUUGGAAAUCUGUUUCAUUAAAGGCUGAUGCAACCUGGCAUAUGUCCUAAAUACUAUCAAUGGCUUCCUAAUGGCAGUACCGCAGUGGGUUUUAGUGAAAAAUCACUAUCAAUGGCAUGUGGAAAGUCUCUAUAGAAAAAUACAGCAAUCCUUGGCAUUUUGUGCAUGAACAUCAAUGACUUGGUAUAUGGCAAGAUAUUUGUUACCAUGGAUAAAAAAUAGUAGAGUGGAAUGGAUUUUCAAGGUAGCUUCAGGAAGAAUUUACAAUGUAUCUGAAGGAAAACAGCAAGGAAAAAGCCUUUCUAUGACAAGAUGUCAUUAAGACAUGAUGAAUCUAAUUUAUCCAUUGUGUAUGGAUAUGAAUGGACUGACACACAAGCCACAGUGAAUCCCACCAUUAGUAAUGUCUUUCAUGAUUAAACAUAGUUGAAGAUGGUAAACUGCAGAAAAUAGAGUUUGUAAUUUCUCAGUUUUCUGUAGAUUUUCAUAACUGAUAAAGUUUUUGACAUCUGACAGAGUCAAUGAAUGGUACUGAAGAGAAGAGCUUGCAAAAAAGGUGAGGUGUGAUUAUGGCAGAGCCAUUCAUGUCACCAAAAUGAUUCAUUUCCUAUUUCUUUCCACAUCCCAGGGACUGUUCCUGUUUCAGGUGAGAACUUCAGCUUGUAAUAACAUCAUGUUCCUACAAAAAAACCUGCAUUCAGUAAUAGCCAAUUAUUCAACAUCAUCUUUGAGAGGUGACUUGGAGGUCAGACAAAGAGGUGGACACAUUUUAAAUUAUUUUGUAAGAUCUAUCCGUCUGCUCUAUUCUAUAUUGCCUAAUACAAGUAUUUGAAAAGAAACUUCUCAGUGAUGGUGACAGAGCCUGGCCCAGGCUGCCCAAGGAGGUUGUGGAGGCUCCUUCUCUGGAGUCAUUCAAAACCCGCCUGGACGCCUUCCUGUGUAACCUCAUCUGGGUGUUCCUGCUCCAUGGGGGGAUUGGACUGGAUGAGCUUUUGAGGUCCCUUCCAAUCCCUGACAUUCUGUGAUUCUGUGUGAUUUAUAUCAUCCUUGUUCUGGACUAUGCUAGUGCCAUCCAGAUUCUGAAAGAUGAGCAUAAGCCUGAACCAUUCUGGCGCAUAUACCUUCAUCUUCUCUCCCCAGAAACCAGGGCCUAAGGAGAGCUGAGGAGUCCAGGUCUCAUUUUAGGUCUUACACUAAGCAGGGGAAUGAAUGGGUUGCACGUCUGAGCCUUAAAACUUUGCAGUUUAGAUGGAGGCACUACAGAUUGUCUCCAGUUUCUACUGCUUCUUGCCUUCAUGACAUGACAAAAUUGAGUUUUUUGUUCAUGGUUUAGUCUCUGUUUUAUGGUGGUGGGUUUUUUUUUUUUCCUUCUCAUUUGCUUUUCCUGGCUGUGGCAGUCGUGUCAGGUGGCCAGGAGGGAGGGAGAGGAGGAGAUUGGAGUGUCUGCAUGUGGACUGAGAGCCUCCUGACCGAGCACAUGGCUUGCCUGUUGCUGAGGAGCAGAUCUACAGCCAAGCCUCAGAGGUCAAGGAGAGGCUGCAUUCCUGGAGCCCCCGAGGGACCCUGUGGAGGUUGCUGCAACCCAGGAAGGCCGUGCAAGCUGCUGGACUCCAGAGCAGCUGGAAGGAGAGGCUCAUUCUGAAAGGAAAUAGAAAACGGGGGGAAGAUUUGUUUUCAAAACUUUUAUUUAUCUGCAUCAUGCAGAAGAUCUACAUUUGCUGUGUUUUAAGGGGUUGCCGGUGCUCUAAGAAAACACAGAGAUUAGAAUUACUGUAGUGUUUUGGGGUGUGCUCAUAAUAAGAUUGGUCAGUGCUACCUCAAGGCUCAGACCUCCUCAGAGUCACUUCAAAACCUCAUAAAAGCAAAUGUUUAUAUAUCAGCUUUCUGGGAUGGAGGGCUUCUCUUCCUUCUUUGGAAAUGACUACAGAAAUAUUAGUGAAUUAUCCCUUGCGUAAUUUAUUUGGCCAGUCCUGCUAGUAGAAGGAGACAAAUAGCUACUACAAGGGACUAGAAACCAUGGAAAAAUGAGCUUGCUGUUUAAACUCUUGAAGUUGAUCUAAUUAGUGAUGACAACUAGUGCCUGGUUAGUGCAAGAGAUUUAAGAGCAUACUAUAACACUUUUUCUGUUUCCCUCAACUUUUGCCUGCUUUUCUAUCUCUAGAUGCUAAAAUCAAACAUUUCUGUUCUCCAAGAAAGCAAAUACCAUGUAAUACAUGCUGCAAACAAAGAAUAUUUUCUCUUUAAGACAUCAUUUAUUUAUAAAAUCUGUGUUUUGACAACACAAAUUCAUAGAUGUGUGGGCCCCUAUAUAGUGAGCCAAGUUCUCUGAUGUUCUAUAUAGUUGAGCAAUGCUAGUACAAUCCAGGAAAAUAAAUGUAUAAGCUACAGGACCAAACUAUCAACAAAAGACGUUGAACCAUAUGUAAACUGAGCAUAAAGCAUUUUGCAUUUUUUAACCCGCUUCCCUCCCUGAUUUGGGAUUAUUGGCAGUGUUACUGAACAUGAACUGAAGUCCAAAUGCCACAUACUUUGCAGCAGCAUUGUAUCAUAAAUCCUAUCUGCGUUGUAUUUAUUGAGCCAAUCUGCACCAUAUUUUGCUUUGUUAAUAUCUGUUAUAUUACACUAACUAGCUGAGAAGCUGAUGAAUUGGUGUAAGAGAGUAAUGGUUGGUAGUAAGUAUAAUUCUGAUUGUCUGAUUUGCAAUAUUUGAUGGCUUUUUGUUGAGGUAUCCAAAAAAGAAAGUGUGUAACUUAGUUGAUACUGAGAAAUUCUGCGAUUCCUGUGAUAAUGGUUUGAGGUUUGUGAUGUGACGUGUAGAUUUACCUUCAUGAAUUCCUAGGCAGUUCACAGUAGAUUUUACAAACUGUUGUUUUCAGAAAUAUUUUGUUCUAUAAUAAUGGGGAAAAAGGCAGCUCAGGCAGUACUGUCACCAUUGUAAGCAUCUGUGAAGGCAGCUUCUCGCACUGAGAGUCAGGAAAGAUCUACUUACCUGCAGAUGCAAUGCAAUGAAAUGGCUGUUUGUAUUUAUAUCAGUUUUUAUAACACUGGGAUAAUUAUUAAAGGACAAAUAUUGAUAUUGCUGCUGGGGAUGAUCCAAAGUUUGACAGAUUGAUGCUUCUGAGAAUUCUUUCACCGUCGGCAUUAUGGUAUCUCUGACUAUUUUACUCACAAGUAGUAAGCUGCUUAUACAAUCUAAUUUACAUAAAGUUACUUAGCCAAGAGAAGUGUCAAAAUCACUAAUAAGAUAAAGACAUCUGCUUCUGCACUACAACAGCAGGGAAAGCAAAUGCUGAUGUAGUUUUCAAAAUAGUGAAUGUGAAAAGUAGGAGAUGCAAUAGAAAUGUGUUAAACAGAGUGUUGGUACCUGUCAAAGGCUUGUUAAAAGGAGAAGUCCCAGAGAAAGGCUCUGUGAUUUCCAGAAAAGGCAGAGGAUUCACACUUAAAAAAAAAAAAAAAAAAAAAAAAGGUAAAACUUUUUCUUUAUAUCAUACUAGAGUAUUCCAUAGACCUAUAGCACCUGGUGCAACAGAGUACCCAUAGUGAAUUUGAUGACAAUACUAAAUCAGCAGAGUGGCUGACAAGACAAACAGUGAAUCCACUCUCCAGGCAGACCUCCAUGGUCUUGAGGAGGCAGCCAAAAUAAGAAACUUCAACAAGGAGUCCAUAGUUCUGCCCCUGGGGCAAAAUAACCCCAUAUAUAAACUCAAGAUGGGAACCGCCUGGCUAAAUAGCAGCAAUGCUGAAAAGAAGCUGGGGAUUACUGAGGAUACCAAGGUGAAUGAAAGCAAGUGGCACGUGCUCAUCGUGAGUAAAGCAAAAUGCAGACUGGGCUGCAUCAGGAGCUGCAAGGCCAGCAGACUGAGACACCUUGUACUCACCACUGGUGAGGCCACACUGAACACUGUGGUCAUUCCCAAAUUAAGAGGGAUACUAAGAGAUUGGAGAGGGUGCAGUGAAGGGUUGUCGAGACAAGCCAGACUAAAGCACAUGGCAGAUGAGGAAAGGCUGAGGGAUCUGAGCUUGUUAAUUAAGGAGGAGGUCAAGGGCAAUCUAAUAGCAGCCUGCAAGCACCUGAAGCAAAGACAGCAAAGCCAAGAUUCUGCUUGGUGAUGGCAGAUGCUGCAGUAACCACAGACGUCACCUUGGGAAGUUCAGAUUGCUGAGGGGGAAAAGCUUUUCCACAGGAGUGUGGUGCCGCACCACUGGAACUGGAAACCCAUGGAGGUGGUGGAAAUCAUCACCCGCGGUGCUUUUCAUGGCUCAGCCAAAGGUAGAGCUGGCCUGGACUAGUGAGGUGACAGCCCCUGCUUUGAGUAAGAGAUCUUCAAGGUGCCUCCCAACUGAUGUUUCUAUGAUUCUGUAAAAUAAAUUGAUUAAAUAUUGUUCACAAAACAUUUAGGAAUAAUUGUUUGUGCUGACCACAUAGAUUUACUGAGUCAAAAUUAAAGAACAUGAUUUUACAUCCUAUAUACAUCCAAGAUUAGGGCUUAGUUUCCGUUGCUUUUACUGAGAAUUCAUUACAGAACUUUGGGCCCAUUUUUUAGAUGAGUAAAUCAAUGCUUUUGUAUUUUUGAUUUUGACUGUUCUGGCUUUUUCUAUUAUAGCAAUUAUAGAGACAGUUAGAAAUGUGUCAUAUUCUAAUGGUCAUAUAGGGCAUAAUGAUCAUAUAGGGCUAUUAGUGCUUAUAUAGCAAGCUAAAUGUGAGGACUAGAAAAAGAAAUAUGUAAAUGAUCACUGAAGUCUGGCCCCAGUUCUUUGCUUAUUUACUCGUAGUUUUAAGGGUAACUGUAAUACUUUAUUGCAAUUUUCUUUUCUUUUUUUCUUUGUUUCUAAUAGUGCAUUUUAUUCAUAAGUAUGAAAUGUUUUCCUGACAACUGCUAGAAUUGUUUCUCAGAACCCCCAACUGAAAAUAUAUUCAGUAAACUGCAUUGUAACUUUGAAGAACAGGUUAGGACACAAAGAAUAAUAUCUUUUCUUAAUUGAAUCUGCAAACAAAAUUCAGAGUGCUUAUUUAAAAUGUGUUCUGGGAAAUGGCUUUUCUAUUGACAGAAGAAAUUACAAUAUGAGCUUUACAUCUUUUGGAAGACUAGGUCAGAUUCUGAUUAUGUUCACACUGGCAUAAUUGUAGAGUGUUUCUGCUGAUGCUAAUUCAUAUUUAUACCAGUGCUUCAGAAUUAAAAAUCCAUUUGAGCAUUUCUGGCAAUACUGUGCCUCCUAGCAUGAUACUCGACAUUGAUUUAGUUUUAGAAGUAAAAGAAGUAAAUGAGCACUAUGGCUUCCUGAAAUACAAAAUGAUAUUAAUUUAUCCUUAAUUUAUAGUUAAUACAGAAUAUAAAGAAGAAAACUUGAAUUGGUAAUCUCUUUAGGUUCACUUUUUCAGGCACUUAUGAUUAUUAAUAAUGCAGGAAUCUGAAACAGCAGUAAAAAUUGCAAGAAAUUGUAUAGCCCAUUAUUUAAACAGCAGCUUUCUUCAAUUUCAAAAGAGCAAACGUCUUCUCUUUGGCUUUUUUUUGUUGUUGGUUGUUUGGUUGGUUGGUUGGUUUUUUUAAUAUCACUUUCUGCAAUACUGGCAACAAUACUGAAUUUGAAAAAAAAAUGUUCCUACAUUUCGCAUUCACCUGAGUUUUUGUGAAUGAAAGGGCAAAUAGAACACUUUAUUUCAUUCAUUAUUUCUGGAGAAGAGCAAGUUGUUUGUAGUAGACAAGACAUACUGGCCUGUCGUCAGAAACAGUAAUGUCUUAUUUCUGGUUUCUUCUGCUCUGCACUAAUUUUAAGACCUUUUGUGCUCUUGGGUAUGUAUGUUAUGAAAGCGACUUUCUUUUUCUGCUGUCAGAGUUGGUAAUUUUGUCAGAAGUUUCUUUCUGUGCAUUGAAGAGAGAUUGGUUUGCGCUAACUCAGGGAAUUCUGCACUAAAUUCCAUUGUAUGGCGUAGACAUGUAUUCAUAUAAUCCAUAGAACUCAGCGCUACAUUCUCCUCCUUUAUAUACCUUACUUUUGCAAUUACAUUCCCAGUUUUACUUAUGAAAAAGAAAUCCCAAAUGUGGAGAGAACCUAUGAAAUUAUUAGACAGGUGAAAGCUAUUUGCUGUUACCUGAAGCAUUUAAAUAAGAUCAGAAGCAAAUUUUCUUCGUAAUAUUAAUAUAAUAUCAUAGAAUAGUUCAGGUUAUAAGGGACCUCAGGAGGUCUCUAGUCCAAUCUCCUACUCAAAGCAGGGUCAACUUUGAGAUUAGAUCAGGUUGCUCAAGGUUUUAUCCAGUCUCGUUUUAAAGCCUCCAAGGAGGGAGAUUGUACUGCAAUUUUGGGCCAACUGCUCCACUGCUUGACUGUUAUGAUGGUGAAAAAGUUUUUCCUUAUAUCCAGUUUGAACCUCUCUUGCUUCAAUUUAUGCCCAUUGUUACUUGUUCUCCCAAUGGUCACCAUUGUGAAGAGUCUAGCUCCAUCUUCUUGACGACCUCCUUAUAGGCACUGGAAGGCCACAGUCAGGUUCCCUUGGAAGCCUUUUAUCAGUGUCUUGUAUGGAGGUUAAGUGGGUGGAGGACAAUACUGGAUAUAACCUUCUAGAUGAGGUCUAACAAAUGUUGAAUGCAAUACUACAAGUGCCUGAGGUCUUUAUCUAAGAUCUUCUUUUGCUCUCAAAUGACAUAAUCUUUUAAAAUCAGCUGUCAUUAAAUUGGAGAUUCAUAGUUUUUCUUACUGUGAUUAGAUUGCAUUAUAACCAAGCUAAAGAAUGAUGACAGAAUUAUACAUGUAAACAAGAAAUUUAUACUGAUUACCCUAAAAAAAAUUCCAUGGUGGAAGGUAAGAAGUUUAUCUUUGUCCCAAAAAUGUCGUCCCACUUUCAGUGGACCAUGACUCCUCAUUCCAAUGCUACUCUGAAGUCUUCAUUGACUCCUCACCAGUACUGGGGUGGGAAGAAGAUACUGUGCUAUGGUGGCAAAUAAUGGAUCUUUUACUAAAUCAGGGCUAUGUGCAGACUGUGUUAUAUGGAUGGCUUCCCAGAAAAGAUAAGUUCAGUUUUUACAGUAUCUCAUUAUUCACAUGAAUUAAAGAUGUAGCUCUAAUAACUCCACAACUCUCACUUAAUAUAUUUAAGACCUUUGAAAAAAAAUACAAGAAAAAUCAACAGAACUGAUUGUGGAGCAGGAAAUAAUAUAAGCAAAGAGUGGUCUUGAUAGUGACUAUUUUAGAAAUCUAAUUUGGUGGUCUUCUACAGUGUUGCCACAGAGAUAGAGGACUGACAUUUCUACAAGGCAAAGAAAGCAUCAAAUUGGUCUUAGAAAGUCAACACUUUAAAAAAGGAGUCUUUGUAGUGGUAUGAAUAUAAUUAUUUAGUGUUCAAAUCCGGUGGAAUUUCAAUGGCAAGCAAAAAAGCAAACAUCAGUGGUACAGGUUCCUUCCAUUUUACAAGUGAAGUGAAAGAUAUAAUAGGAAGAUUGGAUUUGUUGGCAGAUGCAAUCCAUAUUUUCAAUAUAACAAGAACAAAUUUUUAUUCUUUUAAUUAUUCUGCUGUAGUUUUGUCCCCCGUUUUCCUUAGCCAGUUGUCUUCUUCUUAAACCUUUGUAUGGAAAACUAUCUUAAAUACUAUAUAUGAUGUAAUAGAAAACUAUUGAAUUUAUUAACAAGUGAGUGUUAGAAAUAAAGACAAUUCCAUUAGAAACAACAGGAUGUGAGAAGAAUUAAGUCCGAUAAAAAACCACCAAACCUCUUCACAUUGGAAACAGUGGAACAAGAAAUUAAAAUGGAUAUGCUAAACAAGUCCAAAGAGAAGCAUAGUCUCUAGUCACUAUUGUAGGGAACCUUGAUUUGGCUAUCUAGUGCUGGCCCACAUAGCAGGUUUUUUCAGUACUAGAAGUGACUUCAUUACAGAUGACAGAACAAUGCAGAAGAUGACAGAGGAGUUUUUUGUUGCUGAUUGGUGUCAUCAUGGUCAAUAAAAUGGUGAUUUUUCUUUAUCCUUUUCUCAUCUUGGCUUGAAUUCUCAGUGACGUCUGAAUUAAAAAACAAACCCCCAAAAUCCCAAAAAAUCACCCUCAACCCCAAACCAAACACACUUACAAAGGGAAUUUCUAAACUCAAAAUACAGAGUAAAUCUGCAAUUCCCUACCAGCAGGUUGAACCUUAAGUAUAGUUGUCAGAGAUAACAUCUAGUGCAGUCUCUUUGGCUUUGGAUUCAGCAAAAGCCAGAGGUGUCUUACUUAAACGUGGAUGCUUACAUGAGAGCCAGGUAUCUGAUCAAUGGAGAGCUUAUCAAUACAUUUAUUGGAGACCAGAAAGCUACUUAGCAGUUAUUCUUUUGGUCUAACAUAGGUAUGGGUUAAAGGGUUAGCUGAACAGUUCUCUGGAUUCUAUUGACUUCAUAAUAUAUUCUAUAUAGUGGCAGUUUACACAUCUAGUUCAUACAUCUGCACUCAUUUUAAGCACCUCAAUCUGGAAACUAAUUUUUUAUCCUAAAAGAUAAAUAGAGACUAAAGCUGCUGUCACUACUGUUGUACCAUCCAAUAUUGGGAAUGCUUAAUUCUCCUAUGUAAAUACUUAAUUUUAUAAAAACUUCUGAACCAACACCACAAUUUCUCCAUGAUAAAAUAUUCUGCUGCUUGCCAAUUUGGUACUAGAGAUUUUACAACUUAAAGCUCAGAGAGUGUUAAGUGAAUGUAAACCUUUUGGCAUUGCUGAGUGUCCAUAAUCAUCUGUGUAUCCAUGGUAACUACAGGAGAGAAAGUAUGGGUGUAUAAUCCUUCUUAAGUAACACAACAUUAUGUUUUUCUUGGUAGACAAAGAGGUGCUAGCUAGUCAUAAGCAUAUUAAACAGUCUGUGAAUAUCAAAGUUGCAAAUAUACUCCUUACCAGCAAAACAGAAAUUGGUUUUGUAAAAUUGUAAUGGGUGCUAAUACUUCAGAGAUAUUAAUACAGAAUUUCUGGAGCUUCUGUUUUGAAUAAAGGUGGGCAAACUAACUUCAGAUCAAUCGUUUUAGUUAAAUCUCCUUUCUCUUCACCUUACAGUUCAAUAGAAAAGUCAUAACUAAUCAUGCCAACCUUGUUGCUUAUCAGAGGAAGGGCUAGAUUAUUCUCUGACUAAUCACAAUGGAAUUUACACCCUUUUAAUGUGCUAUAUUUCUGUGUGAUAGCCUAAACAUGUUCAUAUAAGUGUUUUUGUACGCUGUAAAUGAUUUGAGAAUCAAUAUGCUAUUGACUGUACGGCUAUAUUUAUAAAUAGUGCUUUUUUCCUUGUUUUCUUGUUUUAUGACUUAUUUUUGGUUAGCAAAAAUACAGAACAUUUUAGGCACAGUUAUGACUGUUAUUUGAAGACCAAAAAUAGCUGGAUACCGUUUUUGUUUUAUACU